This 313-nucleotide ribosomal RNA is filed under the name uncultured bacterium. RNAcentral's name for it is "bacterial SSU rRNA". It matches the Rfam family "Bacterial small subunit ribosomal RNA", at positions 28 to 334 of the family's 1533-position model. The record is from RNAcentral.
GAUGAACGCUGGCGGCGUGCUUAACACAUGCAAGCCGAACGAAGCACAGAAGUUGCUUGCAACAUCUGUGACUGAGUGGCGGACGGGUGAGUAACGCGUGGGUGACCUACCCUAUACAGGGGGAUAACAGUUAGAAAUGACUGCUAAUACCGCAUAAGCACACGCUGUCGCAUGACAGAGUGUGAAAAGAAUUUCGGUACAGGAUGGGCCCGCGUCUGAUUAGCUAGUUGGUAAGGUAAAGGCUUACCAAGGCAACGAUCAGUAGCCGGCUUGAGAGAGUGAACGGCCACAUUGGAACUGAGACACGGUCCAA